Molecule: ribosomal RNA, 1447 nt
Filed under: uncultured bacterium
Lineage: Bacteria
Description: bacterial SSU rRNA
Rfam family: Bacterial small subunit ribosomal RNA
Source: RNAcentral
AGAGUUUGAUCCUGGCUCAGGAUGAACGCUGGCGGCGUGCUUAACACAUGCAAGUCGAACGAACCUUCGGGUUAGUGGCGGACGGGUGAGUAACGCGUGAGAAUCUGCCCUCAGGAGGGGGAUAACGGUUGGAAACGGCCGCUAAUACCCCAUAUGCCGCGAGGUGAAAUGAAUUUCGCCUGAGGAUGAGCUCGCGUCUGAUUAGCUAGUUGGUGUAGGUAAUGGCUCACCAAGGCAUCGAUCAGUAGCUGGUCUGAGAGGAUGAUCAGCCACACUGGGACUGAGACACGGCCCAGACUCCUACGGGAGGCAGCAGUGGGGAAUUUUCCGCAAUGGGCGAAAGCCUGACGGAGCAACGCCGCGUGAGGGAUGAAGGCCUCUGGGCUGUAAACCUCUUUUAUCAAGGAAGAAGAUCUGACGGUACUUGAUGAAUAAGCCACGGCUAAUUCCGUGCCAGCAGCCGCGGUAAUACGGGAGUGGCAAGCGUUAUCCGGAAUUAUUGGGCGUAAAGCGUCCGCAGGCGGCCCUUCAAGUCUGCUGUUAAAAAGUGGAGCUUAACUCCAUCAUGGCAGUGGAAACUGUUGGGCUUGAGUGUGGUAGGGGCAGAGGGAAUUCCCGGUGUAGCGGUGAAAUGCGUAGAUAUCGGGAAGAACACCAGUGGCGAAGGCGCUCUGCUGGGCCAUCACUGACGCUCAUGGACGAAAGCCAGGGGAGCGAAAGGGAUUAGAUACCCCUGUAGUCCUGGCCGUAAACGAUGAACACUAGGUGUCGGGGGAAUCGACCCCCUCGGUGUCGUAGCCAACGCGUUAAGUAUUCCGCCUGGGGAGUACGCACGCAAGUGUGAAACUCAAAGGAAUUGACGGGGGCCCGCACAAGCGGUGGAGUAUGUGGUUUAAUUCGAUGCAACGCGAAGAACCUUACCAGGGUUUGACAUCCUGCGAAUCUCUUGGAAACGAGAGAGUGCCUUCGGGAACGCAGUGACAGGUGGUGCAUGGCUGUCGUCAGCUCGUGUCGUGAGAUGUUGGGUUAAGUCCCGCAACGAGCGCAACCCACGUCUUUAGUUGCCAGCAUUUAGUUGGGCACUCUAGAGAGACCGCCGGUGAUAAACCGGAGGAAGGUGUGGAUGACGUCAAGUCAUCAUGCCCCUUACAUCCUGGGCUACACACGUACUACAAUGCUACGGACAAAGGGCAGCAAGUUCGCGAGGACAAGCAAAUCCCAUAAACCGUGGCUCAGUUCAGAUCGUAGGCUGCAACUCGCCUACGUGAAGGAGGAAUCGCUAGUAAUCGCAGGUCAGCAUACUGCGGUGAAUACGUUCCCGGGCCUUGUACACACCGCCCGUCACACCAUGGAAGUUGGCCACGCCCGAAGCCGUUACUCCAACCCUUGUGGAGGGGGACGUCGAAGGUGGGGCUGAUGACUGGGGUGAAGUCGUAACAAGGUAACC